RNAcentral lists this long non-coding RNA (2245 nucleotides) under Helianthus annuus (common sunflower). Its description in RNAcentral is "hypothetical non coding rna". Lineage: Eukaryota; Viridiplantae; Streptophyta; Magnoliopsida; Asterales; Asteraceae. The record is from RNAcentral.
UUUUUUUAAAUUUUGGUUUUGUAGUUAUUGUAAUUAAUUUGCCUCCUCUUUCGGCUGCAAGUUUAUUGAUUUGAUUAUCAAGGUUAUUCUUGUUGCUUUGUUCUAGAGGCAUAAAUAGGUUCAUUGUGAGGGUGUUAUUGAUUCUUGAUUCUGUUUCUUAAUAAUAAUCAGGGUUAAGCCUUCCUUUGGCAUAUUUCUUGUUUUAAGUAAUUCAAGAUUAAGAAAAUAAGUUAACUUUGUAAUAUUAUUUUGCGAAUAAAUCUUUUUAAUAUUUAUUUUUAGUAAAUUACUUUUCGGUCCUUGUUUUGCAGUGGUUUAAUCCUUUUAGUCCAUUUUUUAUUAAAUGAAUCAAAUUAGUUUGAAAGUGUUAUGAAGUGAGCUGUUAGAGACUCGAAUGGUUAAAGCUUUUGAUUUCAGGCUCAAAAAGUAGAUUUAUCAUUUUUCAAUAUAAAAAAAUUACCAACAUACAACAUUACACAUCAUUAAAACCCAUAAUUUAAAACGUUACAUCAAAAUAAAAAUUAAUACUUAAAAUAUGAUAAAGAACCCAUAAAACCAAAGUCGCCUCAAUCAUUUUGGUGGUCUAAAACGAAUUAAAAACAUUUUGGUUUAAAACGAAUUAAAAACUCAUUCUUUACUUGGGCUUUGAACUGGCAAAAUAAACUAAAAUCUAUUGUUGACGAAGUUGACCUCUGUUUUGUAAUUUUAUAUAUAUUUUUUUUAUGUUUUUAUAAGUUCGGUCCAACUCAAAUAUCAUAUAUAAUGUUUUUUGGAGUUUGAGUUCCUAUUGAUUUGGAGGACUGUAGUCCAUGUUUUAAAAUACUUGGACUUGAGCUACUUCAUACUUAAACAUAGGCUGACAAUUAGUUUUUGGUUUUUAUUAAUGGAUACAGUUUUUAUUGAUUUGAUUAUCAAGUUUAUUCUUGCUGCUUUGUUCUAGAGGCAUAAAUAGUUUCAUUGCGAGGGUGUUAUUGUUCCUUGAUUUUGUUUCUUUGUAAUAAUCAGGACUAAGCCUUCCUCUGGCAUAUUUUUUGUUUUAACUAAUGGAAUGAAAGAUUUGACGUUUACGAAUUACGAUAAAAAACUAAUGGAAGAUUAUAAAAAAAUAAAUAAACUUGGUAAUGCAACUAUUUCUAUGUAAUCUUGAACUCGAAGUGAAUAUUCGAACUAGAGAGUAAUUUGUAAAUGUAGAAUAAGUGAUAAGAACUCAUGGAGGCAAAUAGACACAAGAUCACUUGAAAGGUGAAGGCCUACAUUUUUCUUUUAGGUAGAAGACUUAAACAAUGUCUCAAUCUUUGGGUGUUUUAAGUCGUGUGACGGUUCAGUUAGCAAUUGAGCAUAAUGUGAUGUUUUUCAUAAUUGAGUGUAGUGGAAUAAUAUACAAUGCCUCAUAAUAAAUUAUUACUCAAUUAUUAUUUUUUUCAAAAAGUUACUAAUAAUUGGAAUUCAUUUCAUAAAAAAAUUUACAUUUCUAAAAAUAAAAAUAAAAACCACAAAAUAAAACAAAUAAAAUAUUACAUUGCUAAAUAAAAAACUAAGAAUCUAAAGUUGUAUUUUUCUUGGAUUUUUUGCUUGAUGCAUUUGCCUAUAAGAGGGUCAUAGUCUCUAAACGCUAAUGACCGAGAUCUCGAAUGUCUUGUAGGCGUUGGUUCAUCAAUUCUUCCUUCAUUAUGUCGGGUCGGGUUUAGCCGAAGAUGACUCCACCUUUUUCACUUAUUUUUUUUUGUUUAUAAGCGGUCGUUCCAACUGCAAGUCCCUAUCGUCCUCCAAAUUAAUGUGUAAGUCGACGUUUCUUGUAAUGUUGACAUAAACAUUAAUUUGGAGGACGACGAGUAUUUGGACUUCGAACGACCGCUCGGUCGAAAAAGUGGGAAAAUAUGGGUUAUUAUCAGAAAAAUAUGUUGGCUAAUCCCGACGUAAUGAAAGAAGAUUAUGAAACGACAUUUACAAGACAUUAGAGAUCUUGGUCAAAUGCAAGAAAGAAACGUUGAAAACAAAAAAAUUGUUGUGAUACAAGAAUCGAGGCAAAUGAAGAAAUACAUAAUUUUUGUCUAAAUCAAUCGACCAUCUUCCAAGCGAUGGACUAAUCUUAGCACAAAUGCGUCAGCAACAUAUCCAUGAAAAUUACGGACUUUAGAUUAUAAGUUUUUUAGUUAUCAAUGUAAUUUUUUUUGUUUUUUUUUUUGGUUUUUUAUUUUUAUAUUUAACAAUGUAUUUUUUUUAAUUACUGAAAUUUUAUUAGUUU